RNAcentral lists this ribosomal RNA (254 nucleotides) under uncultured bacterium. RNAcentral's name for it is "partial 16S ribosomal RNA". It matches the Rfam family "Bacterial small subunit ribosomal RNA", at positions 524 to 776 of the family's 1533-position model. The record is from RNAcentral.
UACGUAGGAGGCGAGCGUUGUCCGGAGUUACUGGGCGUAAAGGGUGCGCAGGCGGCGGUUCGCGUGGAUAGAUGAAAUCUCCUGGCUUACCUGGGAGGAUGGUAUCCAGACGGGAUCGCUUGAGGGUCGGAGAGGGGCGUGGAAUUCCGGGUGUAGUGGUGAAAUGCGUAGAGAUCCGGAGGAACCCCAGAGGCGAAGGCGGCGCUCUGGCUCGCAACUGACGCUCAGACACGACAGCAUGGGGAGCGAACGGG